Long non-coding RNA from Bombus pascuorum, 1208 nucleotides. RefSeq lists it as uncharacterized. NCBI's taxonomy places the organism in Eukaryota, Metazoa, Arthropoda, Insecta, Hymenoptera, Apidae. The transcript is spliced from 2 exons. The record is from RefSeq and is a predicted model, not a curated record.
GUCGUUUGAUUUUUCUUGCACUCCCAUAUCUAUAUACAGAAUCGCAUUUUCAACGAACAUGAAAAUACAAAAAAGACAUCGUUGGCAGCGUUUCGUAAGUGCAGUGCGCUUAGAAGAUAUCAUUGUUGUAGAAACAAAAAAUUAUAUAAUGGAAUGCCAUUGUUGAUUAUGUUUCAGAUAGCUUUAAUCUACCUAUCUAUCUAUCUAUCUAUCUAUUUCUAUGUAUAUGUAUAUCUAUAUAUAUAGAUAUAAAUAUAGAUACAGAUAUACAGCAGUUUUGAAAUUUGAAAAUAUAUUAUGAAGACUUUAGGUAAUCUUAUUAAGCGUGUUUUGUAAUCAUUCCAACUUUUGAAAAAUUUAAAAACCGACAUAAUUGCUUUGUUCAAAAUCGAAAUUAUAUAUACAUAUUGUUCGAUAGAUCGAAGCAAUGUAAGCUUUAUUUUUUCCGAUUAUUAUUAUUGCGGUUAUUGAUAUGUUGGUUUCUGUUUGAGUUUGUUUAAAACUAGAAUAGGAUAUUGUUAGUUGAUUCGAUUCAAUUGUCAUUUGCAUGCGCUUAAACAUUAGCACAUCUUUUCGCCGAGAAUGAUUGUUCAUUUUAUUUCCAUUGAUCUCGCUGCUAGUUUAAAUAUACGUACCCUUCAAUAAGUAAAUAUAUGAUGAUUAUGCAUUGUUUUAACUUUGUUUAGUAUUAGCAGAAGUUAUAAAUUGAUAAGAUUCAUAAUGCAUGAAAAUUAAUUUGAGAAUAUUAUAAAUUAAGAUGGAAAUAUAUUUUUUAUGUACAUAUAUACUCAUUAUAAUAUCUUGUUUAUAUUUUCUUUUUAAUGGAACUUUACGAUACUUUGACAAGUAGAAAAUCAUAACCUAUAAUCGAGCAGCAGCUUAAGAUUUUCAGUUGCGAAAUUAUUUUUAUGUUGUAAUGAGAGAAUUCGUAUAACCGUAUAGCUUUUUUCUUCUCUAAAGAUUGCAUGGUAAUAAUUACGAAAUACGAUAUGCAGAAUGACAAAAUACAUUUGACAUUAUGCACGGUAAAACUGUUAGAUAGUAAUGAAAAUUGACACGUUCAGAGUUUACUUUUAAUAGCAAAUUGUUUAAUGUGAUUAUUGAUAAAAAGUUUGUCAUUUAAAGAGUAUAGAAGAGAACAUUAUAAUAAAUUGAUCCUAAAUAGAAAGUCUAAAAAUUUUAAAAGUAAACUUUGUAAUUCUAAAAAA